Molecule: long non-coding RNA, 310 nt
Filed under: Mytilus galloprovincialis (Mediterranean mussel)
Lineage: Eukaryota; Metazoa; Mollusca; Bivalvia; Mytilida; Mytilidae
Source: RNAcentral
GGGACUCCGAAAGGAGAAAACAGAGAGAAAGGUUCUGGAUGCAUCAGCUACGUACUCUUGAAUCUGAUGGACUUAAUGAGAGGGAUGAAAAACAGUUCUACCCAAAACCAAAGGAAUAAAUCAUGAAUUUCAUUCUAUUUAACUAAAACAACUAUUUGUUUAGAUUUAAAAAUUGUUAUGUACAAUAAACGGCAAAAAUAUCUUUUAUAUACCCCAUCAAUCAAUAUUUUAAACUUUUACACAAAAACGUCAAGCUACAAAGAUAUUUUUUUGUCAUGCAUCCGAUUUCACCUAGAUAGAUGCACACGCC